This 567-nucleotide ribosomal RNA is filed under the name uncultured bacterium. Its description in RNAcentral is "bacterial SSU rRNA". It matches the Rfam family "Bacterial small subunit ribosomal RNA", at positions 337 to 917 of the family's 1533-position model. The record is from RNAcentral.
UCCUACGGGAGGCAGCAGUGGGGAAUUUUCCGCAAUGGGCGAAAGCCUGACGGAGCAAUACCGCGUGAGGGAGGAAGGCUCUUGGGUCGUAAACCUCUUUUCUCAAGGAAGAAGUAAGUGACGGUACUUGAGGAAUAAGCAUCGGCUAACUCCGUGCCAGCAGCCGCGGUAAUACGGAGGAUGCAAGCGUUAUCCGGAAUGAUUGGGCGUAAAGGGUCUGCAGGUGGAACUGAAAGUCUGCUGUUAAAGAGUUUGGCUUAACCAAAUAAAAGCGGUGGAAACUACAGAACUAGAGUGCGGUAGGGGCAAAAGGAAUUCCUGGUGUAGCGGUGAAAUGCGUAGAUAUCAGGAAGAACACCGGUGGCGAAAGCGUUUUGCUAGACCGUAACUGACACUGAGGGACGAAAGCUAGGGGAGCGAAUGGGAUUAGAUACCCCAGUAGUCCUAGCCGUAAACGAUGGAUACUAGGCGUGGCUUGUAUCGACCCGGGCCGUGCCGGAGCUAACGCGUUAAGUAUCCCGCCUGGGGAGUACGCACGCAAGUGUGAAACUCAAAGGAAUUGACGGA